CUGAAAGAGAAAGGUGGCAGGUCAUAUACAGAAAAUGGAAUGGCAUGAAGUAGGCACAGAUAUUACCUGCUAUUAAGUCUCUUUCCUGAGGGUGAACUAGAAUAUAGGAGGAAGAGAGGAGAAGUCAGGGGUAGGAGGCAAAGGCAACCUUGAGAAAUGGAGGCACCCAAUAGCAAUUAGGUUAGAAUGUCAGACUAAACACAGAUACUGGAGGAAGUGAGGAGGAAGGAGAUGACCUAACUUGCCAUAAUUAAAAAUAUAUCAGAGAUGUCCUGUGGUACCAGAAUCCUACUCUAGAAUAGUAGAAAGGGUAUUGGAUCCAAGAUCUGGGUUGAAAUCCCAACUUUGACACUUGUUAUGGGUAUGAUCAACUGUAAAUCUCUCAACUUCUCCAGAUUACCUUUUCCUGGCAAUUAUAUACAGCUCCUUACUGUCUCCAGCAUUCUAGAAAGACCUCUAUGUUAGAAGCCAAGCUAGUCAACAGGGCCCCACAAUUGGAAAAGAGAAAAUUCCCAUGAAUUCCUCCUACGUCAGCAAACACACUGAACAUGUAUGCGAGUAGUUAUC
This 567-nucleotide long non-coding RNA is filed under the name Monodelphis domestica (gray short-tailed opossum). Its description in RNAcentral is "lncRNA (ENSMODG00000048391.1)". The record is from RNAcentral. Lineage: Eukaryota; Metazoa; Chordata; Mammalia; Didelphimorphia; Didelphidae.